AACUGAUACUACCUGCGGGAACCUGCGGAAGGAUCAUUACAUGAUUUGAGGGGGCUCACGUCCCCUCAUCCAACCCACAAACCCCGAGGAACUUUUAUGUCGAGUGGUUCGGCGCUCUCUUUGAGAGCCGCCCCUCAAACGCAUCGCAGGCUUUUCGUGAAGGUCUGAUGUGUCACAUCGUGAGUAUUAAAACUUUCAACAAUGGAUCUCU
This 211-nucleotide unclassified non-coding RNA is filed under the name soil metagenome. Its description in RNAcentral is "partial contains 5.8S ribosomal RNA, internal transcribed spacer 2, and large subunit ribosomal RNA". The record is from RNAcentral.